RNAcentral lists this ribosomal RNA (443 nucleotides) under uncultured bacterium. Its description in RNAcentral is "partial 16S ribosomal RNA". It matches the Rfam family "Bacterial small subunit ribosomal RNA", at positions 338 to 795 of the family's 1533-position model. The record is from RNAcentral.
CCUACGGGUGGCAGCAGUGGGGAAUAUUGGGCAAUGGAGGCAACUCUGACCCAGCAAUGCCGCGUGUGUGAUGAAGGUAAUUUUAUUGUAAAGCUCUUUUCUUUGGAACGAAUAAAUGACGGUACCAAAGGAAUAAGCCCCGGCUAAAUACGUGCCAGAAGCCGCGGUAAUACGCAGGGGGCAAGCGUGGUUAGGAAUGACGGGGUGGAAAGGGUGGGUAGGUGGUUUGAUAAGUUAAAUGGGUAAUACCCAGGGCUUAACUGGGGUGAUGCAUCUAAAACUGUUGGACGUGAGUACUGGAGAGGAAAGUGGAAUUCCUAGUGUAGAGGUGAAAUGCGUAGAGAUUAGGAGGAACAGCAGUGGCGAAGGCGACUAUCUGGACUGCAACUGACACUGAGGCACGAAAGCGUGGGGAGCAAACAGGAUUAGAUACCCGGGUAGUC